CUAGAAUGAAUUGGACCUUAGAUUUUCAUCUCAAUAAUAAUAAUAAUAAACCUUUGAUUUUCAUUUCAACAACAAUAAUAAUAGUUGGCAUCUUUAAAGUGCUCAGAAGUACAUAUGGGAGGUCCAGUUGAAGUUAUGAAAUCAUUGUACCACUACAAAGACAAUUACAUUUUGAAACCUCAAUGUAAACUUUGUAGCAAAAAAUACACAAUGAGAUAUACUGGAGGAAUGGUGCAUAAUACAUGACUUUGUUCCUUUUUUUAGAUUAUUGUAAAAGAGAAGUGCAUAAAGGGCAUUCCCAUCAGCCAAAUCCAGGAGAGACUCCUUUAGGUCCUCCGUCUGUGCUAGACUGUGGACAAGGUCAUCAGAUUCAGAUGUGCAGUAAACAAGCACUAAAUUUUGUCCUUUAAAGCUAGAGUUCGAGCUGUUAUCAUCAAGUUAUGCUGCUAUUUUUUGGGCUGAUGACUACUAUGGAGUUAAAAGAGUUGAUGGUAUCACCCUUCAUAUAAAAGUGCAAGUGAUUAAAAGAUGAAACAGUGAAGAUCCUUCCAAUUAAUUAGAAAUAAAGCUAUACACCAAAACAGGAUAGGAUCAUAGAAUUAAACAUGGCUAUUGAAGUGGGAAAUGGUAAAUGGCAUGGUUCAGUUGGUGGCAUAGUUUGUGCACCUAUUGAGAAGGUUUGGACCUUGGUCUCUAAAACUAAAAGACUACCCGAAUGGAUGCCAAUGGUAGAAAGAUGCAGUUCCUUGGCUGAUGACGAUGAACCGGGCUAUGUUAGGCUUGUCUUAGGUUUCAUGUUUCCUCAACAAGAUGGAGAAAGGUCAUGGAACAAGGAGAGGUUGGUAGCUGUUGCUUGGAUCCAACUCAUCCAAGGGAAAGUAAGUAAAUGAGCAGAAAAGACAAGAAAGAAAGGACGCGCCAGGUAGGGGUCGAACCUACGACCUUCUGCUUAGGAAACAGACGCUCUAUCCACUGAGCUACAGGCGCAACUUUGAUAAUGCAAAUAAUCAGAUAAAUACUGAAUAAAUAAUAUACCAAGGAUUGACUUUCACCAUUUAUAUGAAAAGACUCUGCCAAUUGCCAUAA
This is an RNA transcript of Glycine soja, 1086 nucleotides long. RefSeq lists it as uncharacterized. The transcript is spliced from 4 exons. The record is from RefSeq and is a predicted model, not a curated record. Lineage: Eukaryota; Viridiplantae; Streptophyta; Magnoliopsida; Fabales; Fabaceae.